Micropterus dolomieu (smallmouth bass) is the source of this 690-nucleotide long non-coding RNA. RefSeq lists it as uncharacterized. Lineage: Eukaryota; Metazoa; Chordata; Actinopteri; Centrarchiformes; Centrarchidae. The record is from RefSeq and is a predicted model, not a curated record. The transcript has 4 exons.
GAUGGGUUACUGAAAAGUAAAAUACUUUAGGUGUAACUUUCAAAAGUGCCACGGUUUUCCCGAUUUUGUUAUUUGGGUUGGCCUACCUGGUAGCUGGUUGUGGACUUCGGCCCCGGACGGUGAAGUUUUGGGGUUUUCUGCCAUGUGUUCCUCAAAUCAAGUCACGCUGGCAUCAGAGAAAAUGGAGCUGACAACACUCUGGGAGCGGGUGUGGCCUGAUGAUGUCAUCUCUGAUACGCCACUGUCUGAUUGGCUGGAGUGGUUGGACUGGGACUCUGGGCAGGCAGACAGACCUGGCAGGCUGGAGGAGCUGGAUCCAGACUUGAUGGAGGAAGAGGAGAGGGAGGACCAAUCGUAGGCUGCCUCCGUCCUCCUCAUUGCCUCCUGGAUCAGACAGAUUUACUACAGGACAAGUUUACCUUGGCAAUGCGGAUACUGUUGAUCCAUUGUUGGAGGGUUCUGACAUCAUCACAACAGAGGUACUUGAUGUACUGAGACUUUUUCUGGAUCUGAGGGUGCUACACACACACAAUAUUAUCAGAUACUUUACUAGUUGUGUUAUUACUUGCUUAUUAUUACUACAACUCCUGUCACUAUUAAUGACAAACACAAAGUUAAUAUUUCUAAUGUGCUGUUAAAUUAAAAUCAAACCACUACCGUAUUAAUACAUUAAAGACAUAUUAUUGUGUA